RNAcentral lists this ribosomal RNA (505 nucleotides) under uncultured bacterium. RNAcentral's name for it is "partial 16S ribosomal RNA". It matches the Rfam family "Bacterial small subunit ribosomal RNA", at positions 28 to 507 of the family's 1533-position model. The record is from RNAcentral.
GACGAACGCUGGCGGCGUGCCUAAUACAUGCAAGUAGAACGCACAGUUUAUACCGUAGCUUGCUACACCAUAGACUGUGAGUUGCGAACGGGUGAGUAACGCGUAGGUAACCUGCCUGGUAGCGGGGGAUAACUAUUGGAAACGAUAGCUAAUACCGCAUAAUAUUAAUUAUUGCAUGAUAAUUAAUUGAAAGGUGCAAUUGCACCACUACCAGAUGGACCUGCGUUGUAUUAGCUAGUAGGUGAGGUAACGGCUCACCUAGGCGACGAUACAUAGCCGACCUGAGAGGGUGAUCGGCCACACUGGGACUGAGACACGGCCCAGACUCCUACGGGAGGCAGCAGUAGGGAAUCUUCGGCAAUGGACGAAAGUCUGACCGAGCAACGCCGCGUGAGUGAAGAAGGUUUUCGGAUCGUAAAGCUCUGUCGUAAGAGAAGAACGGGUGUGAGAGUGGAAAGUUCACACUGUGACGGUAUCUUACCAGAAAGGGACGGCUAACUACGUG